AUUGAACGCUGGCGGCAUGCCUUACACAUGCAAGUCGAACGGUAACGGGCCUUCGGGUGCCGACGAGUGGCGAACGGGUGAGUAAUGUAUCGGAACGUACCUUUCAGUGGGGGAUAACGUAGCGAAAGUUACGCUAAUACCGCAUAUUCUGUGAGCAGGAAAGCAGGGGAUCGCAAGACCUUGCGCUGAUUGAGCGGCCGAUAUCAGAUUAGCUAGUUGGUGAGGUAAAGGCUUACCAAGGCGACGAUCUGUAGCGGGUCUGAGAGGAUGAUCCGCCACACUGGAACUGAGACACGGUCCAGACUCCUACGGGAGGCAGCAGUGGGGAAUUUUGGACAAUGGGCGCAAGCCUGAUCCAGCCAUGCCGCGUGAGUGAAGAAGGCC
RNAcentral lists this ribosomal RNA (384 nucleotides) under uncultured bacterium. RNAcentral describes it as "bacterial SSU rRNA". It matches the Rfam family "Bacterial small subunit ribosomal RNA", at positions 30 to 416 of the family's 1533-position model. The record is from RNAcentral.